UUGGUAUGUUUUUCAUUUUUAUUUUUAAAUAUGUAAUGAUACGUUUUAUUGAUUUUUAUUUUUAAUUGUAAUUAUUUUAAUACUUUAAAAGAAAAUAAAAAAGUUGCCCUGCUAAUGAAAUCCCCCUUUUAAAAAUAUUUUAUUUGUUUACGUUAAAGUUUAGCUUAUGUUGAGAAACAGAAAUGUUAAAUGGUUAAGUUUUAGUGAGUCCUCCCCCUGUUCCUCUUUGCUCACUUGUGUGCAUUAGUAAAAGUGAAGAGUGAAAGUGAAAAGAAAUGGCGGGAACGCGGGCGUGGGGGGUGGGCUCAUGGGGGCAGGGGCCGCACUGGGGUCCGAGGCGACAGAAAAGAAGAGCGACAGCGCGUAAAGAAAGGACGCGAGGUGGCCUCUUCUGCGAUGACAUCAUCCCUCAUUUGCAUAAAUCUCCGCCUGAAUUGAAAGCUCAUUGGUCACAGGCGAGAGAGACCGAAGCUGCUCUCGCUUUUCAUCCUUUUCAAUGCCCCUCCCGCGACCGCAUAGUGUGCGCGUGCGUGCGUGCGCGGACCGUCGAGCGCCGUUCCAUUCUCUGCUGCCAGGAGACGCGCAUCGCUUUUAUCGCCGGUAGACAGUCAGUCAGCUCCAAACGGCCUUUGUCAGAGCUACUGAUUUUUAUCUCAACAUUUGUUGCCGGUUGUUCUCGACUCGCAGUGCUGUCCUCCGAUUCCACUUGGAAAAAGAAAGAAAGAAAUAAAAAAUCGUGGAAGACGCGAGUACCGACUGGGCGUUGCUGGAGGAAAAGCGCUAGACUCGGUUUAAGACGGAUGCCUCACCCCCCUGCGGCCAGCAUCUCACCGCUCCAGUGAGGCUCCAUCAGAUCUAGUUCUUCUGCUCUUGUCUGGUGGCAUGGCAUGCUGGCUGGGGCCCGUAUCUGGCCCGUGUCCUGUGUGCAUCCCAUUCUGUGGGUGUCCAUCGGAGGAUCGCCCAGGAUUAGCAUCAUGCUUUGUCCAGAGUUAACAAGCUCUGUCAUGUGUUAAUC
RNAcentral lists this long non-coding RNA (1015 nucleotides) under Carassius auratus (goldfish). Its description in RNAcentral is "lncRNA (ENSCARG00000025696.1)". The record is from RNAcentral. Lineage: Eukaryota; Metazoa; Chordata; Actinopteri; Cypriniformes; Cyprinidae.